UCUUGGUUCUGUUUGUCAGUUAGAAGAACGGUUCAGAAUUGGUGGAGGGUGGUUUUUGUUUUGUGUGGAGGUUUGGGGUGAAGGUGAUGGAGUUCGAUGAGGAUUGUUCUCAGUUGUGGAUUGUAGGUUGCAGGGUGAGGUUAAGCGUUUGAGGAAAAUUGUGGAAAAAGGUUUGAGUUAGUUAUGUGGAGCCUUUUUCUUCUGUUGAGAGUUGGUUAUUUGUAGGUUGGAGAGAGUCAUGAGGGAUUCUGUUAUGAAGUGGUUGUUAACCGUGGGCAGUUAUGGCAGUUGGAAAUUCAGUUCAGAUUCUUUUGUGAGUUAUUUGGUUAAGUUCAAUAAGUAUAUGAAUUUCUGCUGAGCUUUUUGUUGAUGUUAGUUUUUUAGGGUGGGAUAUUUCGGUUGGAAGUUAAUCAAGGCUGCUAGCGUUUGGUUAUUCGGUUGGAGAAAUUUUCUUUGAAGGUUUUCUUAUGGUUUUAUUGAAUUAUGCAGGUUCUGUUUAUGAGAGAGUUGGAAGCAUGUUCCGGUUCAGCAUUGAGGUGGGAAGUUGUUAUGGAUUACGAUGUUGCUUUGAUGUAAGGACUACUGGCUUUCUUCUACAUGCAAUGUGAUGUUGGAUAUGCUAUGGGUUGCUUCUGAUGAUGGGUUUGAAAGUUAGUCGUGAAGGAGG
Lathyrus oleraceus (garden pea) is the source of this 667-nucleotide long non-coding RNA. RefSeq lists it as uncharacterized. The transcript has 3 exons. The record is from RefSeq and is a predicted model, not a curated record. Lineage: Eukaryota; Viridiplantae; Streptophyta; Magnoliopsida; Fabales; Fabaceae.